UACGGAGGGUGCAAGCGUUAUCCGGAUUCACUGGGUUUAAAGGGUGCGUAGGAGGGCAGGUAAGUCAGUGGUGAAAUCUCCAAGCUUAACUUGGAAACUGCCGUUGAUACUAUCUGUCUUGAAUAUUGUGGAGGUGAGCGGAAUAUGUCAUGUAGCGGUGAAGUGCUUAGAUAUGACAUAGAACACCAAUUGCGAAGGCAGCUCGCUACUCAAUUAUUGACUCUGAGGCACGAAAGCGUGGAGAGCGAACAGG
RNAcentral lists this ribosomal RNA (253 nucleotides) under uncultured bacterium. RNAcentral describes it as "partial 16S ribosomal RNA". It matches the Rfam family "Bacterial small subunit ribosomal RNA", at positions 524 to 776 of the family's 1533-position model. The record is from RNAcentral.